This 429-nucleotide ribosomal RNA is filed under the name Chloroflexota bacterium. Its description in RNAcentral is "Chloroflexi bacterium partial 16S ribosomal RNA". It matches the Rfam family "Bacterial small subunit ribosomal RNA", at positions 355 to 776 of the family's 1533-position model. Lineage: Bacteria; Bacillati; Chloroflexota. The record is from RNAcentral.
UGGGGAAUAUUGCACAAUGGGCGCAAGCCUGAUGCAGCCAUGCCGCGUGUGUGAAGAAGGCCUUCGGGUUGUAAAGCACUUUCAGCGGGGAGGAAGGCGAUAAGGUUAAUAACCUUGUCGAUUGACGUUACCCGCAGAAGAAGCACCGGCUAACUCCGUGCCAGCAGCCGCGGUAAUACGGAGGGUGCAAGCGUUAAUCGGAAUUACUGGGCGUAAAGCGCACGCAGGCGGUCUGUCAAGUCGGAUGUGAAAUCCCCGGGCUUAACCUGGGAACUGCAUUCGAAACUGGCAGGCUAGAGUCUUGUAGAGGGGGGUAGAAUUCCAGGUGUAGCGGUGAAAUGCGUAGAGAUCUGGAGGAAAACCGGUGGCGAAGGCGGCCCCCUGGACAAAGACUGACGCUCAGGUGCGAAAGCGUGGGGAGCAAACAGG